CCUGAACGCUGGCGGCGUGGCUAAGACAUGCAAGUCGCACGGACCCGCAAGGGUUAGUGGCGAACGGGUGAGUAAUGAAUCGCUAAUGUACCCCGGACUCUGGGAUAGCCGGCCGAAAGGCCGGGUAAUACCAGAUGACAUGACCGAACCGCAUGGUUUGGUCCUCAAAGGUCCGCCGGUCUGGGAGCAGGCGAUUUCGUAUCAGCUAGUUGGUGAGGUAACGGCUCACCAAGGCGACGACGCGUAGCCGGACUGAGAGGUUGGCCGGCCACAUUGG
Molecule: ribosomal RNA, 277 nt
Filed under: uncultured bacterium
Lineage: Bacteria
Description: partial 16S ribosomal RNA
Rfam family: Bacterial small subunit ribosomal RNA
Source: RNAcentral